Molecule: ribosomal RNA, 214 nt
Filed under: uncultured eukaryote
Lineage: Eukaryota
Description: partial 18S ribosomal RNA
Rfam family: Eukaryotic small subunit ribosomal RNA
Source: RNAcentral
UGGUGGAGUGAUUUGUCUGGUUAAUUCCGAUAACGAACGAGACCUCAGCUUGUUAACUAGUGUCGCCUGACCUCUACAUGGUUGAAGCGUCGGGAGGGCGGCCGGCCGCAAGGUCGGUACCGUCCAUCCCGGCGUGGAUGCUUGAGGCACGGGUGAUCAACCCACUUCUUAAAAGGACUGUUGGCAUUUAGCCAAAGGAGGAGAGCCAAUAACA